Molecule: ribosomal RNA, 292 nt
Filed under: uncultured bacterium
Lineage: Bacteria
Description: partial 16S ribosomal RNA
Rfam family: Bacterial small subunit ribosomal RNA
Source: RNAcentral
GUGUCAGCCGCCGCGGUAAUACGUAGGUGGCAAGCGUUGUCCGGAUUUAUUGGGUUUAAAGGGUGCGUAGGCGGUUCAUUAAGUCAGCGGUGAAAUACGACAGCUUAACUGUCGAGGUGCCAUUGAUACUGGAGAACUUGAGUACUGAUGAGGUAUGCGGAAUGGACGGUGUAGCGGUGAAAUGCUUAGAUAUCGUCCAGAACACCGAUAGCGAAGGCAGCAUACUAAGGAGUAACUGACGCUGAGGCACGAAAGUGUGGGGAUCAAACAGGAUUAGAAACCCGUGUAGUCC